This 468-nucleotide ribosomal RNA is filed under the name uncultured bacterium. RNAcentral describes it as "partial 16S ribosomal RNA". It matches the Rfam family "Bacterial small subunit ribosomal RNA", at positions 28 to 507 of the family's 1533-position model. The record is from RNAcentral.
GACGAACGCUGGCGGCGUGCUUAACACAUGCAAGUCGAACGGAAAGGCCCUGCUUUUGUGGGGUGCUCGAGUGGCGAACGGGUGAGUAACACGUGAGUAACCUGCCCUUGACUUUGGGAUAACUUCAGGAAACUGGGGCUAAUACCGGAUAGGAGCUCCUGCUGCAUGGUGGGGGUUGGAAAGUUUCGGCGGUUGGGGAUGGACUCGCGGCUUAUCAGCUUGUUGGUGUGGUAGUGGCUUACCAAGGCUUUGACGGGUAGCCUGCCUGAGAGGGUGACCGGCCACAUUGGGACUGAGAUACGGACCAGAAUCCUACGGGAGGCAGCAGUGGGGAAUAUUGCACAAUGGGCGGAAGCCUGAUGCAGCAACGCCGCGUGCGGGAUGACGGCCUUCGGGGUGUAAACCGCUUUCGCAUGUGACGAAGAGUGAGUGACGGUAAUGGGUAAAGAAGCACCGGCUAACUACGUG